Long non-coding RNA from Caretta caretta (loggerhead turtle), 613 nucleotides. RefSeq lists it as uncharacterized. The record is from RefSeq and is a predicted model, not a curated record. NCBI's taxonomy places the organism in Eukaryota, Metazoa, Chordata, Testudines, Cheloniidae.
GGCCCCGCGCCUCACCUGGCCCGGGGAUCGAGACCGGUAUCGAUCAGGGAGGGGGGCGCGGGCUGGGCCCGAGUCUCUUUCUUUAAACUGUGGGAGCAAGAUCAGGACUUUUGUUAACCACAUAUGGUACGUUUCCUCUCCAUCGAAGAAAAUCAAGGGUCAAUGCUGAGCUUUACUGUGCAUAUUUAAUAUUCCUUUGAAGACUUGGAGGAAGGGGAGGAGGUGUUAUCUCUGCUGCUUGGGAGUGUCAGAUGAAUUAAUGUCAAGGAGCUGGCCCUGUCCAUCCACUUUAGCCGGUUUGUUUGUUCCCAUGCAGCGCACCUUGAGUUCCACAAUGCAAAGAAGGCAUGUGAUCUUUGACAGGCUGUUUGGAGUCAGAAGAAACAUAUGCAUAUUAGGCAUCUGAUCCAGCACCUCUUUAAAUCAAUGGCAAAACUCCCAUUGACUUCAAUAGUGCAGUAUCAGGACCACUAGUCCUGUUUCUUAGCAUGGAGAAUAUUAUCGAACCUAAUAGGAUGUGUAACUUGGCAUCUCUGAUUCUGGGCCUCCAUUUCUUUCCACAGUCAUGAAAUCUCUGUAUAUAUCAUGCAUAAGCAAUAAACUUUAAAUUAGA